AUUACACCUGAUAUAAGCAAGAUUACCCGCUGAACUUAAGCAUAUCAGUAAGCGGAGGAAAAGAAAUUAACGAAGAUAGCCUUAGUAACUGCGAGUGAACAGGCUGAAGCUCAAAGUGUAAAUCUGCGUGGGUCAACCACAAAGAAUUGUAAUCUAUAGGGUUAAUCCGAAGGUAAGCUACUCGCAUAAGUUUUUUGGAACAAGACGUCAAAGAGGGUGACAACCCCGUAGUCGGCGAGUAUGCUGCUGUAGGAGAGGCUUCGAAGAGUCGGGUUGUUUGGGACUGCAGCCCUAAGUGGGAGAUAAACUUCUUCUAAAGCUAAAUAUUCACGGGAGACCGAUAGCGAACAAGUACUGCGAAGGAAAGAUGAAAAGAACUUUGAAAAGAGGGUUAAAAGACUUGAAACCGUUGAGAAGGAAGCGGUAGAAGAGCAAUAAACUGGCUUCGGUGUAAACCGUCUGAUGAUACUCACUGCUGUAUAGAUACGAAAGGUCGGUGCGGUGUGAAGAGGUCAUCAAGCGGUGCUACUGGAGUUAGGAGACAAAAUGAUGUUUGGUUGAAGGAGUCACCUGAGAUUCGUAGCAUCAAAAGGAAAACUUCAAUCGGGCAUGAGGGGCCUAAGGGCGAUUUUGUCAAAAUGGCUUCUACUGACCCGUCUUGAAACACGGACCAAGGAGUCUAUCAAUUAAGCGAGUGACAGGGUGGAAAAACCCGUCCGCAAAACGAAAGUGAGUACAAGGUGCCAACCGCAAGGUGCAGCAUCACCCGGCCUCAAGUCUCCGACAAGAGGAUCGAGGAAGAGCUUAAUUGAUAGGACCCGAAAGAUGGUGAACUACGCUUGAAUAGGGUGAAGCCAGGGGAAACUCUGGUGGAAGCUCGUAGCGAUACUGACGUGCAAAUCGUUCGUCAAAUUUGAGUGUAGGGGCGAAAGACUAAUCGAACCAUCUAGUAGCUGGUUCCCUCCGAAGUUUCUCUCAGGAUAGCAAGGGCAAUAACGCAGUUUUAUUAGGUAAAGCGAAUGAUU
This 1025-nucleotide ribosomal RNA is filed under the name Ichthyophthirius multifiliis. RNAcentral describes it as "eukaryotic LSU rRNA". It matches the Rfam family "Eukaryotic large subunit ribosomal RNA", at positions 1 to 1022 of the family's 3401-position model. The record is from RNAcentral. Lineage: Eukaryota; Ciliophora; Oligohymenophorea; Hymenostomatida.